GGAUUCUACCAUUGGUCGGGCAAUAGUCUGUACUGGUGUGUAGAAUUUCUACCUUCUGGGGAACUAUCAUGUUAUUUAUUUAGCGUGGUAGGAAACCAGGACCUUUACCUUGAAAAAAUUAGAGUGUUCAAAGCAGGCUUACGUCUGAAUACAUUAGCAUGGAAUAAUAAAAUAGGACGG
This 180-nucleotide ribosomal RNA is filed under the name uncultured Glomeromycotina. RNAcentral describes it as "partial small subunit ribosomal RNA". The stretch from base 37 to 180 matches the Rfam family "Eukaryotic small subunit ribosomal RNA", at positions 684 to 830 of the family's 1831-position model. The record is from RNAcentral. Lineage: Eukaryota; Fungi; Glomeromycota.